AUGGCCGACAGGGAGGAGGAGAAGGCGGAGGCCGCCGUGCGGGAGGGGGAGGAGGAGCAGGGGCAGGAGCAGCAGGAGGAGGAGGAGUACGAGAGCGACCUGGACGACGCGCCCCUCCCGGCGGUGAGGCGCCGGGCCGCGGCGAGCGACGAGGAAGAGGAGGAUGAGGAGGGCGAGGGCUUGCCGUUGCCGCGGAGAGGGGCCGGAUCCGGCGCGGAGUCCGACGGGCAGGGCGCCGCCGAGGAGUACGGCGAGGAGUACGAGGAGGAGUAUGAGGAGGAGUACGAGGAGGUGUACGAGGAUUUCGAGCAGGGGCGUGGCGGGGCGGCCGCCCAGGCGGUUGCCGCGCCGAGAGAGGCGGCGGAGGGGGCCGAGGAGGGAGGGGAAGCCAAGGAGGCGGCGGCGGCGGGAGAGGAGGGGGAGGAGGGGAAGAAGGAGAGCGAGCCCUUUGCCGUGCCGACGGCGGGCGCCUUCUACAUGCACGACGACCGCUUCCAGGAGUCCCGCGGCGGCCGCGGCCGCGGAAGGAGAACACUGAGUAAUAGGAACUUGUGGAAUCCUAAAGAGGAGGAAGCUUGGGUCCAUGACAGAUUUGAUGAGAUGCAUCCACGUGGUUAUCAUAAUGGCAAUAUGAGAAAUCCAAGGGGCCGCUCUGGAGGGCGUGUUGGUGGACCUGGCGGUAGGACUCGUGGUGUUGGCCGUGGUAAUUUCAGAGGCAACAGGUCUCGAGCGCAUAAUCAUGAUGGUAACCAGAACUACAGCUAUGUUCCAAAGGGAUCUCUAGUUUCCCUUGAUAAUACAAAAAAUGCUGGACCAGUCCUGCGUGAGCACAGGAAGAACAGAGCUCCUAAAUCGUCUCAUGCUCGCAAUGAUGAUGUUGAUAACUUUGAUGUGGUUCCAAAAGAAUCUCACACUUAUAAUGACGGUUCCAGAAGUCGUAAGGCCACACCAAGCGUAAUUCGUGGCAGAGGCUCUAGACGUUACCAACCACGUCGCAGUACUACUGAGAUAUCUUCAGAGCAAAAUGAUAAAUCACAGAAACCUGAAAAUGCUUUAUCAAAUGCAAAUUUGGGGAAACACCAACCUCAGAAUUCAAAUUCUUGGCCUGAGCAAGGUUUUCCUAAUAAGCAAUCCUUUGCAUCAAACUUGAAUUCAGCCUCGCCGCCAUUUUACCCUUCAAGGCCGUCCCACCAGGAACAACUGAUUGGUCAAAGGGGGAAUGCACAACCUAGUACCACUAGUAGACCCUUCUCACCCCCCAUUGGUAUGGAACAUGUUUCUCCAACCCCACAAAAUGCCCCCCUGUUGAGAGGGAAGGCUUUCGUACCGAAGGGCACAAAUAUACAGUCAUCUCCAUCAUCAUCAAAUACCCAAUCCACACUAAGGAUGCCAACCCAGAUGUUGGGUGCACAAUUUGGUAGUAGUGGUCGAAUGCCAUCUUUCACACAACCUACGCCUACAGUUUUGACUGAAGACACUGGUGUUUCUUCACCUAAUGGAUCAAAUGAAGCUGUUACUCGAUUGACGGUGAAUGGGCAACCUGGUGGCCAGGGAGAAGAGCGUGCUUCUUUUCCCUAUGGUGGAGGUCAUGUUCUCGGAGCUACAGGAGGCCUUUCACUUGGUGACAAAGGUUUCCAUGGCACCCCCGCACUCUUUCCAGUUAUGCAGUUUGGAGGCCAGCAUCCAGGUGUGCCUGGUGUUCCUUCAAUCGGUAUGGCUUUACCAGGAUUUGUGUCUCAGCAACAACAUGGCGUCAGCAAUUCUGAGAUGGCUUGGCUGCCAAUAUUGUCCGGUUCCGCUGGAGGUUUAGGAGCAACUUAUGGCUCACCUUAUUUUGCCAUGGAUGGAAGCUAUUAUUCCCGACCUUCUGAGCAGGCAUCUUCUUCAGUUAAUCCUAGAGAACCUAGUGCAAGUAAUGCGCCGUCUCAGUUGAAGCCCCCACAAAUAACAGAAGUUGUAAAUGAUGAGCCUAGUCAACGCCAAAAUAAACCUCGCCGAUACUCGCAGAUGAACCUUGGCCAGUGA
RNAcentral lists this ribosomal RNA (2025 nucleotides) under Triticum aestivum (bread wheat). RNAcentral's name for it is "partial small subunit ribosomal RNA". Lineage: Eukaryota; Viridiplantae; Streptophyta; Magnoliopsida; Poales; Poaceae. The record is from RNAcentral.